AUUGAACGCUGGCGGCAGGCCUAACACAUGCAAGUCGAGCGGAUGAAGGGAGCUUGCUCCUGGAUUCAGCGGCGGACGGGUGAGUAAUGCCUAGGAAUCUGCCUGGUAGUGGGGGAUAACGUCCGGAAACGGGCGCUAAUACCGCAUACGUCCUGCGGGAGAAAGUGGGGGAUCUUCGGACCUCACGCUAUCAGAUGAGCCUAGGUCGGAUUAGCUAGUUGGUGGGGUAAAGGCCUACCAAGGCGACGAUCCGUAACUGGUCUGAGAGGAUGAUCAGUCACACUGGAACUGAGACACGGGCCAGACUCCUACGGGAGGCAGCAGUGGGGAAUAUUGGACAAUGGGCGAAAGCCUGAUCCAGCCAUGCCGCGUGUGUGAAGAAGGUCUUCGGAUUGUAAAGCACUUUAAGUUGGGAGGAAGGGCAGUAAGUUAAUACCUUGCUGUUUUGACGUUACCAACAGAAUAAGCACCGGCUAACUUCGUG
This 484-nucleotide ribosomal RNA is filed under the name uncultured bacterium. RNAcentral's name for it is "partial 16S ribosomal RNA". It matches the Rfam family "Bacterial small subunit ribosomal RNA", at positions 30 to 507 of the family's 1533-position model. The record is from RNAcentral.